AAAUUUAGGUUCACGAAACCGGGAGCCUUCAAAGCCCCAAACAGGGCACCCGCCCUAAUUUCUG
Molecule: transfer RNA, 64 nt
Filed under: Lygodactylus stevensoni (Stevenson's dwarf gecko)
Lineage: Eukaryota; Metazoa; Chordata; Lepidosauria; Squamata; Gekkonidae
Description: tRNA-Trp
Source: RNAcentral